RNAcentral lists this ribosomal RNA (511 nucleotides) under uncultured bacterium. RNAcentral's name for it is "bacterial SSU rRNA". It matches the Rfam family "Bacterial small subunit ribosomal RNA", at positions 29 to 526 of the family's 1533-position model. The record is from RNAcentral.
AAUGAACGCUUGCGCCAUGCUUAACACAUGCAAGUCGAACGGAGUUGAGACAUAAAAAGCUAAUACAUCUUCGAUGUAAAGCUUUGCAUUCUCAAUUUAGUGGCGAACGGGUGAGUAACGCGUAAGUUACCUUCCCCUAGGAGAGGGAUACUAACUGGAAACGGUUUCUAAUACCUCAUACGCUGAGAAGUAAAAGUACUAACGCCUAGGGACGGGCUUGCGUCUGAUUAUUUUCGCUAGUUGGUUGAGGUAAAAGCUCAGCCAAGGUGAUGAGCAGUAGCUGGUCUGAGAGGAUGACCGGCCACACUGGGACUGAGAUACGGCCCAGACUCCUACGGGAGGCAGCAGUGAGGAAUCUUCCGCAAUGGGCGAAAGCCUGACGGAGCAAUGACGCGUGAGGGAUGACCGCCUGUGGGUGUUAAACCUCUUUUACCGGAGAAGAAGCUGAAUAAGUUGACGGUAUCCGGUGAAUAAGCAUUGGCUAAUUCCGUGCCAGCCGCCGCGGUAAGAC